GAUGAAGAACGCAGCGAAAUGCGAUAAGUAAUGCGAAUUGCAGAAUUUCCGUGAGUCAUCGAAUCUUUGAACGCACAUUGUGCCCACUGGUAUUCCGGUGGGCAUGCCUGUUCGAGCGUCAUUAUCCUCCCUCAAACCUCGGGUUUGGUGUUGGACCCAAGUUGUGUGAACAACUGGUCUCAAAGACAAUGACGGCGUCCGUGGGACCCUCGGUGCAACGAGCUUUUAAACGAGCACGCGUCGAGUUUCAAGGACCUUCCGGGCCGGUCUCCUUCUUUUAUUUACAAAGGUUGACCUCGGAUCAGGUAGGAAUACCCGCUGAACUUAAGCAUAUCAAUAAGCGGAGGA
Molecule: unclassified non-coding RNA, 348 nt
Filed under: soil metagenome
Description: partial contains 5.8S ribosomal RNA, internal transcribed spacer 2, and large subunit ribosomal RNA
Rfam family: 5.8S ribosomal RNA (bases 1-121)
Source: RNAcentral